CAAGGUGUUUUGGAGUAGUUAUCUCUUAAACGGCUGGGGCAAAGAAUUCUGGAGAUUGGUCAGAGGCUGGACCAGCUGGGACCUGGGUGGUGGAGAUGUAAUCUUCAAUGUGUUCAAACAUGGAUCCUUGAGGACUCAAGACCUAGAUAUCUGCCAGAAGUUGUUCCAGGAAUAAUUGCAGCCAUGAAAACGACAGGCUCAUCUGUUGCCAGUUGGGGCCAGGAGAAGCCGUGAGAGCUGUAGAGUUGUAGGGACUGUGUGAGAAACUUGAUAAGUAUUAGUCUGGCAAGCAUUUUCAUCAUUGGGCUGCAUAAACUUUUUUAAACGAGUGAUGUGUACCCAAGGGAUGAUUUCUUUUAAUUUUGCGGUGGUAGGAGUCAGCAGAAUUACCAUGUAGGGACCUUGUCAUUUUGGGGUUAGAUCUGAGUGGGACUGAACUGUCAUAUAGACUUUGUCUCCUACCUGAAGGGAUGGGUAUGGAAGAUUGUGGUGUCGUCGAGGGAGUAAGUUAUCCAUAUGUUGCCAAAGGGCAUCUUGUAUCUGGGCAAUUAAAGGAAAAGGAAGGUGGGAAGGAAAUUUGGGACUGUCCUGGGACGGGGGAAGACCCAGAGUAUUAUGGGCCUCUCAUACGUGGCCUCGAAUGGACUGAUAUUUAAGGGUUUUUUUUUUUUGGUAAGGCCCAGACCUUUAAGAGGGCUAAAGGGAGAAGUUUAGUCCAGUCUUAAUGAAGUUCGAUCGUUAAUUUGGUCAGAAUUUCUUUUAGGACUCGGUUGGCUAUCUCAACCUUACCGGAAGACCAGGAAUGAUAAGGAAUGUUAAACCUCCAAGGAACUUGAAGGGCUCGUGCAAUAUUUUGGGU
Bos taurus (domestic cattle) is the source of this 859-nucleotide long non-coding RNA. NCBI's taxonomy places the organism in Eukaryota, Metazoa, Chordata, Mammalia, Artiodactyla, Bovidae. The record is from Ensembl.